RNAcentral lists this long non-coding RNA (277 nucleotides) under Phoenix dactylifera (date palm). Its description in RNAcentral is "long non-coding RNA (PDAC_LNC018762)". The record is from RNAcentral. Lineage: Eukaryota; Viridiplantae; Streptophyta; Magnoliopsida; Arecales; Arecaceae.
AAAUGUAAUUGCUCUAAAAGAAGGGCCAUGAAACUGAUUAAAUAACUGAGAUAAUGCUUGGCAAUACUGUUUACCAUGUCAAGCAAGAGCAGGAUCAAGAUAAAGAAAAGAAUUUGUCCAGAAAGGAACCUCUCUAUAAGAGAAAGUAGGGGCAUUAUGGGAAAUUCACUCCAUCUAAUUAAUAAAAGUCCCAUCCCACCAUCUCCCCUUCAAGUGAGUACCCAAGCAACAACUGCAACAUCACAGCAUAGCAGCCAUUCAACCCCCUCCCUCCUUC